GAAAGGCGAAUGUCAGCUCAUCUGUGUUAGAGAACGGAACCGAGGGAUACAUGACGUUGUCUAGCUAAGCUGUGAUGAGUCGGCUUUCUUGUUUUAAGGAAAGAAAAACCAGUUGAGCUUAAAUUUGUGCAGGAACUGAAGCAGAAUCCAAAUACAUGCCUUUUCGAAUCCAUGGUUCCAACUUGGAACCAGUUCUUGAUACCCAACCCUAGUUGUCAGCCCCCGAUGCAGGCCUGGCCAUCUGGGAGCAGUCUACACCUUACUGGCGCCUCAGUGCCACGCCAUCCAUCCCUCCAUCCACCCCUCCAUCCUUCUAUCCAUCCUUCCCUCCCUUUAUCCGCCCACUCCCUACAGAAAACCCUCACUGAACCUAAUCUAUAUAGAGAGGGGCAUGGAGCAUGUGUUGAGAGGGAGACCGGGAGUAAGAUGGUUCAACAGUUGGAGACUGUGCCCUCUUCACGAGCCACUUAGACCCAAUAACCCAUCUGGCUCUUAGCCAGUUGUCACACCAUCUUUUGCCAGAACCAACAGCUUCCUGAACAGUACACCCACGGACCUGGAUCAUGUGACAACCUCAACACGUGGCCAAUAAGGACUGGGCUGCUGAGAGACGGGAACCACAGAGCUGCCCGACUAGGACACACCCUGUAAAGCGCAACGCCCAACUCGUCGGGAGGAUGUAUGGAGCCUAAACGGUUCCGGAAAAAAGAUCUAAAAGAGUAUUUGGACAAGCAGUGUGUAUUUUUUGUUAUGUACAUGGCCCAGUCUGCCUCUCACAGACCAGACAUCACAGCCACAGCAGACAUCCCACCAAGAAUUGACCAGUUAAGCCACCACCAA
Molecule: long non-coding RNA, 840 nt
Organism: Esox lucius (northern pike)
Lineage: Eukaryota; Metazoa; Chordata; Actinopteri; Esociformes; Esocidae
Source: Ensembl